This 255-nucleotide ribosomal RNA is filed under the name uncultured bacterium. RNAcentral describes it as "partial 16S ribosomal RNA". It matches the Rfam family "Bacterial small subunit ribosomal RNA", at positions 57 to 305 of the family's 1533-position model. The record is from RNAcentral.
GCAAGUCGAGGGGUAACAGGGAUUAGUUUACUAGUCUGCUGACGACCGGCGCACGGGUGAGUAACGCGUAUACAAUUUACCUUUUACAGGAGGAUAGCCCAGAGAAAUUUGGAUUAAUACUCCAUGGUAUUAUAGAAUCGCAUGGUUUUAUAAUUAAAGUUUCGGUGGUAGAAGAUGAGUAUGCGUCCUAUUAGCUGGUUGGUAAGGUAACGGCUUACCAUGGCAACGAUAGGUAGGGGGUCUGAGAGGAUUAUC